UGGGGAAUAUUGGACAAUGGGCGAAAGCCUGAUCCAGCAAUUCCGCGUGUGUGAAGAAGGCCUUCGGGUUGUAAAGCACUUUAGUGAGGGAAGAAAAAGCUUGGCAACACCAAGUGUUGACGGUACCUCAAGAAUAAGCACCGGCUAACUCUGUGCCAGCAGCCGCGGUAAUACAGAGGGUGCAAGCGUUAAUCGGAUUUACUGGGCGUAAAGGGUGUGUAGGUGGUUUUGUAAGUCGGAUGUGAAAUCCCCGGGCUUAACCUGGGAACUGCAUUCGAUACUGCAAGACUAGAGUUCUGUAGAGGGCGGUGGAAUUUCCGGUGUAGCAGUGAAAUGCGUAGAUAUCGGAAGGAACAUCAAUGGCGAAGGCAGCCGCCUGGGCAUGAACUGACACUGAGAC
Molecule: ribosomal RNA, 400 nt
Filed under: uncultured bacterium
Lineage: Bacteria
Description: bacterial SSU rRNA
Rfam family: Bacterial small subunit ribosomal RNA
Source: RNAcentral